Molecule: non-coding RNA, 48 nt
Organism: Schistosoma rodhaini
Lineage: Eukaryota; Metazoa; Platyhelminthes; Trematoda; Strigeidida; Schistosomatidae
Source: Rfam
AUCCAGCUGACGAGUUCCAAAUAGGACGAAACGCGCUUCAGACUGGAU